AAUGGUUGUUUUACUUUUCUUCUUGUGAAGUGAAUGUUGAGUCUGUAGCCUCUCCCAGGCCAUGUGCGUCUUUGCCCAGCAUUGGUGACUCCCAGGACACAAUCAUCCUUCCUGUUAGUCCUGCUACAAAGUGUCAGUGGUUGGAUGACGAGGCUAAGCAUUUGGUGAAAGGCAUUCUUUCCAAAAAGCCCGAGGGAAAAGGGUAAUAAUGGAGAACAAUCGAACAGUCUUUGGCAUAUGACACCCGAAAAAAAAUGGUGAACAUUCUUGCUGCUGACAUAACAGAGAAAAAUGGUACAUCUCCAUCCAGACAAGUGAAAGAAAAAUA
Periophthalmus magnuspinnatus is the source of this 328-nucleotide long non-coding RNA. RefSeq lists it as uncharacterized. The transcript has 3 exons. NCBI's taxonomy places the organism in Eukaryota, Metazoa, Chordata, Actinopteri, Gobiiformes, Gobiidae. The record is from RefSeq and is a predicted model, not a curated record.